This 286-nucleotide ribosomal RNA is filed under the name Chromohalobacter israelensis. RNAcentral's name for it is "partial 23S ribosomal RNA". It matches the Rfam family "Bacterial large subunit ribosomal RNA", at positions 1114 to 1302 of the family's 2925-position model. The record is from RNAcentral. Lineage: Bacteria; Pseudomonadati; Pseudomonadota; Gammaproteobacteria; Oceanospirillales; Halomonadaceae.
AGCCAUCCUUUAAAGAAAGCGUAAUAGCUCACUAGUCGAGUCGGCCUGCGCGGAAGAUGUAACGGGGCUCAAACCAGAUGCCGAAGCUACGGGCGUGCCUGUAUCACUUAAGGCUAUUCGAUUAACGUCGCGAAGCGACGUUCAAGCGCUCUCCGAACGUUGAGUCGGAUAAGCGGAUCAACAGAGUGGACUUAAGGAUGCAGGCACGCGGUAGAGGAGCGUCGUGUAAGUCUGUGAAGGGGCGUUGAGAAGCGCGCUGGAGAUAUCACGAGUGCGAAUGCUGACA